GAUGAACGCUGGCGGCGUGCCUAAUACAUGCAAGUCGAGCGAACGGACGAGAAGCUUGCUUCUCUGAUGUUAGCGGCGGACGGGUGAGUAACACGUGGAUAACCUACCUAUAAGACUGGGAUAACUUCGGGAAACCGGAGCUAAUACCGGAUAAUAUUUUGAACCGCAUGGUUCAAAAGUGAAAGACGGUCUUGCUGUCACUUAUAGAUGGAUCCGCGCUGCAUUAGCUAGUUGGUAAGGUAACGGCUUACCAAGGCAACGAUGCAUAGCCGACCUGAGAGGGUGAUCGGCCACACUGGAACUGAGACACGGUCCAGACUCCUACGGGAGGCAGCAGUAGGGAAUCUUCCGCAAUGGGCGAAAGCCUGGCGGAGCAACGCCGCGUGAGUGAUGAAGGUCUUCGGAUCGUAAAACUCUGUUAUUAGGGAAGAACAUAUGUGUAAGUAACUGUGCACAUCUUGACGGUACCUAAUCAGAAAGCCACGGCUAACUACGUGCCAGCAGCCGCGGUAAUACGUAGGUGGCAAGCGUUAUCCGGAAUUAUUGGGCGUAAAGCGCGCGUAGGCGGUUUUUUAAGUCUGAUGUGAAAGCCCACGGCUCAACCGUGGAGGGUCAUUAGAAACUGGAAAACUUGAGUGCAGAAGAGGAAAGUGGAAUUCCAUGUGUAGCGGUGAAAUGCGCAGAGAUAUGGAGGAACACCAGUGGCGAAGGCGACUUUCUGGUCUGUAACUGACGCUGAUGUGCGAAAGCGUGGGGAUCAAACAGGAUUAGAUACCCUGGUAGUCCACGCCGUAAACGAUGAGUGCUAAGUGUUAGGGGGUUUCCGCCCCUUAGUGCUGCAGCUAACGCAUUAAGCACUCCGCCUGGGGAGUACGACCGCAAGGUUGAAACUCAAAGGAAUUGACGGGGACCCGCACAAGCGGUGGAGCAUGUGGUUUAAUUCGAAGCAACGCGAAGAACCUUACCAAAUCUUGACAUCCUUUGACAACUCUAGAGAUAGAGCUUUCCCCUUCGGGGGACAAAGUGGCAGGUGGUGCAUGGUUGUCGUCAGCUCGUGUCGUGAGAUGUUGGGUUAAGUCCCGCAACGAGCGCAACCCUUAAGCUUAGUUGCCAUCAUUAAGUUGGGCACUCUAAGUUGACUGCCGGUGACAAACCGGAGGAAGGUGGGGAUGACGUCAAAUCAUCAUGCCCCUUAUGAUUUGGGCUACACACGUGCUACAAUGGACAAUACAAAGGGCAGCGAAACCGCGAGGUCAAGCAAAUCCCAUAAAGUUGUUCUCAGUUCGGAUUGUAGUCUGCAACUCGACUACAUGAAGCUGGAAUCGCUAGUAAUCGUAGAUCAGCAUGCUACGGUGAAUACGUUCCCGGGUCU
This 1372-nucleotide ribosomal RNA is filed under the name uncultured bacterium. Its description in RNAcentral is "bacterial SSU rRNA". It matches the Rfam family "Bacterial small subunit ribosomal RNA", at positions 28 to 1381 of the family's 1533-position model. The record is from RNAcentral.